CUACGGAGGGUCCAAGCGUUAUCCGGAUUCAUUGGGUUUAAAGGGUCCGCAGGCGGGAAAAUAAGUCAGUGGUGAAAGCCUACAGCUCAACUGUAGAACUGCCAUUGAUACUGUUUUUCUUGAGUAUAGAUGAAGUGGGCGGAAUAUAUCAUGUAGCGGUGAUAUGCAUAGAUAUGAUAUAGAACACCGAUUGCGAAGGCAGCUCACUAAACUAUUACUGACGCUCAGGGACGAAAGCGUGGGGAGCGAACAGGAUUAGAAACCCUAGUAGUCC
RNAcentral lists this ribosomal RNA (274 nucleotides) under uncultured bacterium. Its description in RNAcentral is "partial 16S ribosomal RNA". It matches the Rfam family "Bacterial small subunit ribosomal RNA", at positions 523 to 796 of the family's 1533-position model. The record is from RNAcentral.